This 317-nucleotide ribosomal RNA is filed under the name Oxyopidae sp. Myanmar PS6. RNAcentral's name for it is "partial 12S ribosomal RNA". Lineage: Eukaryota; Metazoa; Arthropoda; Arachnida; Araneae; Oxyopidae. The record is from RNAcentral.
AAGUAAUACUAAAAUUUUAUAAAACUUAUUUAUAACGGCGGCAUUUUAUUUUAUUAGAGGAACUUGUUUUUUAAUCGAUAAACCCCGAUCAAUUUUACUUUAUAUAAAAAUUUAUAUACCGCCAUCAUUAAGAACUAAUUCAAAAAUAUUAUUCUAAAUAAAUAAUAAAAUGUUAGGUCAAGGUGUAAUUUACAUUAAAGAAUAAAUGAGUUACAUUAAAAUCUAAUUAAAGAUUAAUUAACCUCAACCAAUUAUAAAAUAGGAUUUAAAAGUAAUCAAUAAACAAUAUUUAUUCCUGAAUAAAAUAAUAAAUGUGC